CGAGCAUGAGUCUGAUUGGGAAAUAUACAAAGAUUAUCAGGCAGUACUGAGAGCCCGGGAGAGGUGAUGACUCUAAGUUUAUAAUGGUACCAAUCUUCUCAGUGAUGUAAUUUUCUCCAGCAAGUCUUAUCAAGCAGAAUAAUGGCAUAGACGUUGGAUUCAUCCAGGAAUGAUGACUUGCCAGGAUGGUGUGAUGAAAAGAACAGACGCCAGAACCAUUGGCAGGAGCGUUGCCGAAAUGAUAGUCAAGGUAAUUUACCACCAAAACCACGGAGGGGAAACUAGAAGAGGCUGGAGAAUAAGAAGUAUGCAAAACAACCAGCUGAUCAGAGAGCCAAGGUCAUUCUUGCUCCUUCCAUUCUACCAGAUGAGCCACAAAAAAGGACACAUCGACAAAGCAGCCAUGAUAGGGAAUUUAUCUGAACUUCAAGUAUCACAAACAGACCCUGUUUCCGAAGACAAGCUUCACUGGGAACUCGAAUAUGUAUAGGAAGCUGUCCAGUUUUCCCAGCACCAGCACUUUAUUGAAGAGACUGUCUUUCCAACGUUGGAUAAUUUUAUAUGCAACAUUAUCAAGUACCCCUGAUAAAGGAGAAUUUCCAUUUUGAUUAGAUGAUGAAAAAGGUACACAGUUCUCACCACUGAAAUGCAGCUGGAUGACAGCUGGGAAUUUGGGUCUCCUUAUGAAGGUGACUCUCUGACUCCUCAUUUUCCUUUUUCCUGCUGGAAGUGUGUUCAGGGGAAUGAUGAUGUUUCUCCACCCAACCUGAUAAGCAGGGGAAUUUGCCCCACUCUUCUCUGAAGAGCAACAUACAGUUUCAGGCAUGUGAGAUCUUAAUUUGCCCACCGGGGAUCAAACCUGCACCCCCUGCAUAGGAAGCUGAAGUCUAAACCACUGGACCACCAGGGAAGUCCCAUAACAGUAGUUUCUAUCACUUGUCUUUGGUGAAGCAUUCUAAAACAUUCAAUUUAGUUUCUCUAGAAAUAGUUUCUUUGCAAACUUAUCUGCUAUCUCUUUAUGAAAUGUUUAAUUGUUACAUCAUUAAAAUAAUAACUGCAACUGACAUAAGUUUCAGAAC
Long non-coding RNA from Dama dama (fallow deer), 1079 nucleotides. RefSeq lists it as uncharacterized. The transcript has 6 exons. NCBI's taxonomy places the organism in Eukaryota, Metazoa, Chordata, Mammalia, Artiodactyla, Cervidae. The record is from RefSeq and is a predicted model, not a curated record.